CCUACGGGUGGCAGCAGUGGGGAAUAUUGCACAAUGGGGGAAACCCUGAUGCAGCAACGCCGCGUGAGCGAUGAAGUAUUUCGGUAUGUAAAGCUCUAUCAGCAGGGAAGAGAAUGACGGUACCUGACUAAGAAGCCCCGGCUAACUACGUGCCAGCAGCCGCGGUAAUACGUAGGGGGCAAGCGUUAUCCGGAUUUACUGGGUGUAAAGGGAGCGUAGACGGCUUGGCAAGCCUGAAGUGAAAGCCUGGGGCUUAACCCCAGGACUGCUUUGGAACCUGUGGUGCUAGAGUGCCGGAGAGGCAGGCGGAAGUCCUAGUGUAGCGGUGAAAUGCGUAGAUAUUAGGAGGAACACCAGUGGCGAAGGCGGCCUGCUGGACGAUGACUGACGUUGAGGCUCGAAAGCGUGGGGAGCAAACAGGAUUAGAUACCCCGGUAGUC
This 440-nucleotide ribosomal RNA is filed under the name uncultured bacterium. Its description in RNAcentral is "partial 16S ribosomal RNA". It matches the Rfam family "Bacterial small subunit ribosomal RNA", at positions 338 to 795 of the family's 1533-position model. The record is from RNAcentral.